RNAcentral lists this long non-coding RNA (4230 nucleotides) under Populus trichocarpa (black cottonwood). RNAcentral describes it as "long non-coding RNA (PTRI_LNC003560)". Lineage: Eukaryota; Viridiplantae; Streptophyta; Magnoliopsida; Malpighiales; Salicaceae. The record is from RNAcentral.
CCAUGGUUUGCCAAAGCCUCAUAUUCCACAUCGGUGUGCAAUACCGGCAUAACACGGUAAGGCACGGGAUUUGAAUAACAGGGGAUGAUAUAGUCAGGGUCAGUAGGGCUAAACUUAGGCUCACCCUUGUCUUCUCUAUCUGAAAGGUAAAGCGUCAUGGCAAGAAAGGCAGCAUCAGAAGUGAAAAAAACAUGAGAAGGGACACCAAGUUCUUUUGCAACAUCAAUAAAUACAGUGCAAAACAUAUCAACAACAACACUAGCAAUUGGUGCAGGGUUGUGGGCCAUGACUAGGUUAACAAUAGUAUCUUUCACAAGGGUUUUGUGAUCAUUGAUGUAAGAAGUAAAAGCACUUGCAGGGCUUACAGCUAAAGCUUCUGGAGGAGGUGUAGGUAUGGUAUCAGGAAUUUCGACGAACCUGAUUUCUGUAUGAAUUGAAGCAAGCGAUUCGGUGUUCUUGCUUAUGCCACCGUAAAAUGGAUUGUUGAUGGCAAGCAUGGUUAUCAAGAAACUGUCGUUUCUCUCAAGAACCAUCUUUGCUAACUGAACAGCUGCUACAAGGUGGCCAAAUCCAGGUGCAGGGACAAAGACUAGCUGUGUUUUCUUCAUUUUGGAGGUUUUGAAUGUUCAAUAUGGUGAUCCUUGUUUGCUUUAUAAGGGGCUCAAGGUCAAUGCCACAAUGCCAGCUGUUAUGAUUUUUUUUUUCUCUAAAUUAAUCAUCAAAUUGGAUAUGACAAUUAUUAUUACAAAGAUUGAUUUCAUAGAAAAAUUUUCCUGUAAUAUUUUUAAACAAUUCAAAUUAAAUAAAAGAAAAGAAAGCUAGGUUUCAUUUUAUUUUGAAGUUAUAUUUUUAAUAUAUAUAUAUAUAUAUAUAUAUAUAUAUAUAAACUAAACUAAACUAAAAAUAUUAUUUUAUUUUUAAUAAAUAAAAUUAAAUAAAUAUAUUUGUUUAACAACAUUCAUCUAUCCCAUAAGAUAUCAUUUAUCUUUAUUACAAAAAAUUAUAGAUGAUUUACUAGAAUGAUUUAAUUAAGUAUAACUUGAUUAAAAUAUAUAAUAGAAAUUAAGGAUUAGAAUAUAAUUAAUACAAGGAUUAUAUUUCUAUAUCUAGAAAAAUCAAGUAAGGAUUUAAUUGAUUAUAUUUUUAAAAUUACCCUUACAUAAUAUAUGGAUAUUUUUAAAAUUAUCUUUACAUAAUAUAUGGAUAUUAUUUAAAGGCAAAUAUAUAUAUAUAAUCAUUUAUACGGUUUUGAGAUUUUCUAUAAUUAUAAAGUUAAGCCUAUUAUUUUGUAAGUAAAAAAAUAAUGAUUGUCUAUUUUAUAAAAAAACUACGUAAAAACAAUAUUAGAGCUAGCACUCUAGGCAUAACAAUCUCUCUUUUCUAAAUAGAGAUUUAAGAGAUUUCUCACGGGUAGUUUGUAUGGAUUAUCAUUAGAGACCGAAUAAUUUAACGAUUUGUGGUUUGCGACAACCCAACUUUUAAAGAAUAAUUUAAAAUAAAUAAAUUAAAUAUUCAAAUAAUAAAUCUUUAAAUAAUUUUAAAUCUAAUCUACAUGAUAUAAGAACAACUUAAUAUAUUCAAUCAUGCGAAUUCUUUGUAGUUUUUAAUGUAUCAAAAUGGAUUUAAUAAUACCUUACUAUUAAAAAGAAGAAGAAGUCAACAACAAUGAUUGAUUGUGAUUGCAUUUAAUAGCUAGACAGUUACAUGGCUAGAAAGAAUCCAAAGAUAAUAUAUAAUAAAUGGCAAUUUCGUAGGAAUUGCUGAAGUGUUAAAUUGUGGAUGAAGUUUUUGAUGAAUUUUUAUUUUAUUCUAUUGUACUUUUCAUCAUUGGUAGUUAUUUAUGAAAAUAUUAUAUCACUAUUUAUAUCAAAAUUAUUGACGCAAAAAUUCUAUCACUGUUAUCUUCUAAAAUUAUUGAUGAAAAAUUUAUCAUUGACAUUUCUGAUUUUAUUUAUUAAUUUUCUGGUAAUAAUAAUAAUCUUAUGCUCAGAUUUAUAAUUUUAUAAUUUAAAAAAUAGAAUUGAUAUCUGAAACUUAAAAGAAGAUUAAACCUUUCAUUUUUUAAUUAUAUGAAGUAUUGAUAAUACAACUAAUCAAACAUAAACUAACAAUCAUUUAAACAAAAUUUAAGAAUUUAUGGUAGAAUUGCAUAAAUUAAUUUUAAAAAUUACUUUUUAUAAAUUUUUAUCAAGUAAUUCUACAAUCAAUUCCUAAAGCCUAACAAUCAUUUAAACAAAAUUUAAAAAUUGAGGAUAGAAUUACUUAAUUGGUAAAAAAUUAUGAAAAUAAGCGAACUUUGCUAAAAUCAUGUAUAUUCAUCCUUAUGAUUAAAUGACAUUUAAAUGUCUAAAGUAAAGAAUACCUUCAUCUAGCCAAAACAAAAUUCAGGGAUCUUCUACAAUGAAGACGCUAUCGUUUCAUGCACACAUCAUAUAUAAACGAGAAAUUCAAAUCAACAUAAUAUAUAUAUAUAUAUAUAUAUAUAUAUAUAUAUAUAUAUAUAUAUAUAUAUAUAUAUAUAUGUCCAACUAUUCUAAUGGCACUAAUUUUCAACUACUAAUGAAAAAAAAUAUUAAAAAGUAAUUUUUUAUAUUUUUUAAAUUAAUUUAGAUAUUAAUUAAAAUAAAGUAUACAAUAUUAAGAUUAUUCAAAAUGUUAGUCUCACUUCAUGCAUAAACUAAUAUGAGCUUAUCUUUUAAUGUAUCAUGAAUGAUUUUAUUUUAUUGGUGUGGGUUUUUUUUAUAUAAUUCUGGAUAUUUUAACUACUUUAUGUGUAACUCAAUUAAGUUUUUAAAAUUCUAAAUUUUACAACCAUGUAAUGUGUAUUGAUGGGGCAGGCAGGGAGGUGACUGUUUCUGGAGGGACGGGUGCUUGUAAAUUGGAUAGUGAGGGGUCGACAAGCCAUGGCCAUAAGCAAAAAGAUAAAGGACGAGGAGGGAGAAAAAAAAAUUGUGCAUAAUUUGUGGAGCACGGUGGGACAGGGAUAAUAAUUUAAUAUGAGACUUUUGAAUAUUAACCGAAAACCUACUUCUUUAUUGAAUAUUCAAAAAAAAUAAACCAAAAUGAUACAUUUAUUUAUAUAUAUAUAAUAAAAAAAAACACACACACGGAUAUAUCCAUAUAAAUACCAAACAUUACCGGAAUUAAUAAUUUUAGAGACAAUAUUUUUUUUUUGUUAGUAUUUAUACCAACAAUCCAUUGGUAUAAAAUUUAUCGAUAAAUUUAUAAAAAGAAUUCAUUUGCUAGUAAAAAAAAAACACCAAUGUUUUUACAAAUAAAAAGUUUGUAUAAAAGAAAUCACUUGUUUUAAUACUUUAAUGGAAUUAUUUUGUUAGUGAUUGAUAAUGGUAUUUAUUGUAAUUUUAUUUCAAUUCUUUAUAAAAUAUUAAUGGAAUUAUUUUCAUUCAUGAUGUAAUAAUAUUGAAGUGACAUAUAAAGUAAAUUGUUCCCCUUACCUUUGGAAUAUAUUGAGUUACUACGGGUUGUGUCCAUUGAUACAUCCGUCUGCAAGAGUUAAAAAAAUGCCCUUUUCUUUUAGUACAAUUAUGUUUUUUGUUAGUUUUUAUUUUUCACAUUCUAACCCUGGCGCCAUUAGAAAAAGAUAUGUCUCCACCACAAAACUAGGCAAAAAUAUGACGGGGUGCCUUUAAGUUUGUAUUUCAUGGCUAUGAUCUAAAUCUGGUUUGCCAAAAACUUCGUGAGCAAAGUAAAAUUGGCGUAACAACUGAAUUUAGGCCAAGUUUCAAAUUUUUGUUUACUUUUCUGAAAGUUUUGAUUUAUGGUUUCCAAUUUUCCAAGUCAAAUUUAUGGUUGAUACAAACUAAGCAAGGUAAUUUAAGAAGUUUUUUGCAAAACACGAGAAGGGACCCCAAGUUCUUUUGCAACAUCAAUAAAGGCAGUGCAAAACAUAUCAACAACAACACUAGCAAUUGGUGCAGGGUUGGGGGCGCCAUGACUAGGUUAACAAUAGUAUCUUUCACAAGGGUUUUGUGAUCAUUGAUGUAAGAAGUAAAAGCACUUGCAGGGCUUACAGCUAAAGCUUCUGGAGGAGGUGUAGGUAUGGUAUCAGGAAUUUCGACGAACCUGAUUUCUGUAUGAAUUGAAGCAAGCGAUUCGGUGUUCUUGCUUAUGCCACCGUAAAAUGGAUUGUUGAUGGCAAGCAUUGUUAUUGAAGAAACAAAGAGAAAGAAGAAUCUUAUUUUCAUAUCAAUUCUGUUAGAGCAGCAUAGG